UGAACUGAGAAUAGGUCCCCCGUUGAAGGAAUCAGAGAAAGAACUGGAAGAGCUUGAAGGUGCUCGAGACCCCAAAAGUACAACAAUGUCAAGCAACCAGAGCUUCCAGGGACUAAGCCACUACCUAAAGACUAUACAUGGACUGACCCUGGACUCUGUCCCCAUAGGUAGCAAUGAAUAUCCUAGUAAGAGCACCAGUGGAAGGGGAAGACCUGGGUCCUGCUAAGACUGAACCCCCAGUGAACUAGACUAUGCGGGGAGGGUGGCAAUGGGGGGAGGUUUGGGAGGGGAACACCCAUAAGGAAGGGGAGGGGGGAGGGUGAUGUUUGUCUGGAAACCGGGAAAGGGAAUAACACUUGAAAUGUAUAUAAGAAAUACUCAAGUUAAUAAAAAAAAAAAUGACUCAUAAUGGUUUGACCAAAUUGUAAGAUUUGUUGAAGAAAGCUUAGUAGCAAUGGAAAUGGUUGGUUUCUUGUCAGACAACUUCACUUCUUAAGUUGUCCUUAAGUCAUUUACAUGUUGUAUUAGUUACUUUCCUGUUGGUAUGAGGAAAAAGAAAAUACCAUCACCAAGGCAACUAGAGAUGAAGGGGAGGGUUUAUUUGGGCUUAUGGUUCUAAAGAGAUAACAGUCCAAAUUGAAAAGAAUAGUGUGGCAGGAGGCUGCAGGUAUA
RNAcentral lists this long non-coding RNA (672 nucleotides) under Rattus norvegicus (Norway rat). Its description in RNAcentral is "long non-coding RNA NONRATT009768". The record is from RNAcentral. Lineage: Eukaryota; Metazoa; Chordata; Mammalia; Rodentia; Muridae.